RNAcentral lists this ribosomal RNA (1985 nucleotides) under metagenome. RNAcentral describes it as "bacterial LSU rRNA". It matches the Rfam family "Bacterial large subunit ribosomal RNA", at positions 3 to 2023 of the family's 2925-position model. The record is from RNAcentral.
UUAAGCAAAAAAGAGCGCAGGGUGGAUGCCUUGGCACUAAGAGCCGAAGAAAGACGUGAUAAGCUGCGAAAAGCUGCGGGGAGAUGCAAAUAAUCCUUGAUCCGCAGAUGUCUGAAUGGGGAAACCCGGUACGAAGAACUCGUAUCAUCCAUACGCCAAUCCAUAACGUAUGGAGGGGAACCCGGUGAACUGAAACAUCUAAGUAGCCGGAGGAAGAGAAAGAAACAUCGAUUUUGUUAGUAGCGGCGAGCGAAAGCGAAAGAGGCCAAACCGGAGUGCGUGCACUCCGGGGUUCGGACCGCAUUUAAGAUUCAGUGAUUCUAGCAGAAAGGUUUGGGAAAGCCUGCCGGAGAGGGUGAAAGCCCCGUAAGCGAAAGGAGAGCUGACUGAGCGGGAUCCAGAGUACAUCGAGACACGAGAAACCUUGAUGGAAAGAGCGGGGACCACCCCGUAAGCCUAAAUACUACUUAGUGACCGAUAGCGCAUAGUACUGUGAAGGAAAGGUGAAAAGGACCCCGGGAGGGGAGUGAAAGAGAACCUGAAACCCUGUGUUUACAAGCUGUGGAAGUUCUUUAAAUGAACAACCGCGUACUUUUUGUAGAACGGUCCGGCGAGUUGCGGAUACUGGCAAGGUUAAGCACUUAAGGUGCGGAGCCGAAGGGAUACCAAGUCUUAACAGGGCGUUAAGUCAGUAUACGCAGACCCGAAACCGGGUGAUCUAUCCAUGUCCAGGUUGAAGUUGUCGUAAAAGACAAUGGAGGACCGAAGCCACAUCCGUUGAAAAGGGUGGGCAUGAGGUGUGGAUAGGGGAGAAAUUCCAAUCGAACCCGGAGAUAGCUGGUUCUCCUCGAAAUAGCUUUAGGGCUAGCCUCGAUUUAGUCUUAUGGAGGUAGAGCACUGAAUUUCCGCGGGGGCGUCAAAGCUUACCAAAGAAUAUCAAACUCCGAAUGCCAUGUAGAUGAUGAUCGGGAGUCAGACUGCACGAGAUAAGUUGGGCAGUCAAAAGGGAAAGAGCCCAGACCACCGGCUAAGGUCCCAAAGUGCGUGUUAAGUGGAAAAGGAUGUGGGAAUUCGAAGACAACUAGGAUGUUGGCUCAGAAGCAGCCAUACAUUCAAAGAGUGCGUAACAGCUCACUAGUCGAGAGUUCCUGCGCCGAAAAUGUCCGGGGCUGAAACACGACACCGAAGCCGUGGACUCGCAAUGCGAGUGGUAGAGGAGCAUUCUUAAGACCGACGAAGCUGUACCGGAAGGAGCAGUGGAGGGAUAAGAAGAGAGAAUGCCGGAAUGAGUAGCGAGAGAAAGGUGGGAAUCCUUUCGGCCGAAUAUCUAAGGUUUCCAGAGUAAAGCUGAUCUGCUCUGGGUAAGUCGGGGCCUAAGCACAGGUCGCAAGACGUAAGCGAUGGAUAACAGGUUUAGAUUCCUGUACCACGCAUUAUCAGAACUGUAGGGACGCAUGUGGAAAGCACGAGCCGGGAAUGGAAAGACCGGUACAAGCGGGGUAGGAGUACAAUAGGCAAAUCCGUUGUAUGAUCCGAAGACGUGAUGUGGAGCGAAAUAAAGUAGUGAAGCGUGUGAGCCAUGUGCCGAGAAAAGCUGCUAUUGUGUAAUGCGUGCCCGUACCGUAAACCGACACAGGUGGAUGAGGAGAGAAUCCUAAGGCCGACGGAAGAAGCAUUGUUAAGGAAUUCGGCAAAAUGACCCCGUAACUUCGGGAGAAGGGGUGCCUGCGAGAGCAGGCCGCAGAGAAUAGGCUCAAGCAACUGUUUAGCAAAAACACAGGUCUAUGCGAAACCGAAAGGUGAAGUAUAUGGGCUGACGCCUGCCCGGUGCUGGAAGGUUAAGAGGAGAGGUUAGCGAAAGCGAAGCUUUGAAUUUAAGCCCCAGUAAACGGCGGCCGUAACUAUAACGGUCCUAAGGUAGCGAAAUUCCUUGUCGGGUAAGUUCCGACCCGCACGAAAGGCGUAAUGAUUUGAGCACUGUCUCG